CGGGGCGUAGCGCAGUCUGGUAGCGUACCUGCCUGGGGGGCAGGUGGUCGCAAGUUCGAAUCUUGCCGUCCCGACCA
This 77-nucleotide transfer RNA is filed under the name Gammaproteobacteria bacterium. Its description in RNAcentral is "tRNA-Pro". It matches the Rfam family "tRNA". Rfam says of the family: Transfer RNA (tRNA) molecules are approximately 80 nucleotides in length. Lineage: Bacteria; Pseudomonadati; Pseudomonadota; Gammaproteobacteria. The record is from RNAcentral. RNAcentral also lists the same sequence under 1 other name.